GACAGAGGUGCCGAGCGUUAGGCGGAAUCACUGGGCUUAAAGCGUGUGUAGGCGGAUGCCUAAGUACCUUGUGAAAUCCCACGGCUUAACCAUGGAACUGCUUGGUAUACUGGGUGUCUUGAGCCACUUAGGGGCGACCGGAACAAACGGUGGAGCGGUGAAAUGCGUAGAUAUCGUUUGGAACGCCAAUGGUGAAAACAGGUCGCUGGGAGUGCGCUGACGCUGAGACACGAAAGCCAGGGGAGCGAACGGG
RNAcentral lists this ribosomal RNA (253 nucleotides) under uncultured bacterium. Its description in RNAcentral is "partial 16S ribosomal RNA". It matches the Rfam family "Bacterial small subunit ribosomal RNA", at positions 524 to 776 of the family's 1533-position model. The record is from RNAcentral.